RNAcentral lists this ribosomal RNA (239 nucleotides) under uncultured bacterium. Its description in RNAcentral is "partial 16S ribosomal RNA". It matches the Rfam family "Bacterial small subunit ribosomal RNA", at positions 81 to 334 of the family's 1533-position model. The record is from RNAcentral.
CAAUCCUAAGUAAAGUGGCGCACGGGUGAGUAACACGUGGAUUAUCUACCUUUUAGUGGGGAAUACCUCUGGGAAACCGGAGACAAUACCGCAUAAGCCUGUAAAGGGAAAGCAGCAAUGCGCUGAAAGAGGAGUCCGCGGCCGAUUAGCUAGUUGGCGGGGUAACGGCCCACCAAGGCGAAGAUCGGUAGCCGGCCUGAGAGGGCACACGGCCACACUGGCACUGAAACACGGGCCAG